AUGUAGCCUGAUGGUCCUCGCACAUCGACAACGCAUUAUUUCGCUUCACCUCCCUCAUAGUCCUAAAAAUAAUCGAAAUCAGUUGAAUAAUAAAUUGACAAACUUUUGAAUUAAAAAAAGAUAUCGAUGCGAUACCAUGAAUCUGUUCUGGCUCACACUACGAUGUAUACAUCUCUAACUCGGAUAUGAUGGACCAUUAAUCUCGUGGCACCAUAAAUUGUAAGUACGUUUACAAAGUGGCUUGAGAUUAUUGUAAAGAAAUAUUCACGUAACGUGUUCUUGUAACGAUACUCAUUACAAUUUAGAAUUUACAAUAUGAAAAAGAGAACGCUGAGAAAUGAAUUAUCUUGCACAAUAGUGUAAUGGUAAGGGGAAAUACUUUCUACACAAUUCGAGCUGUGAUUAUUUUUAUUAGCACUCAUAAAAUUAUUAAUUCACGACGACGAGUAAUAAACCUUGAUUUAAUACUAGUAUAUCUCUAUGAUUUCACGUUAUAAAAUUUGGUAUUUUAAAUAAACAUUAUAUAUUUAGUAUUUAUAUUUACAAUGUGAGCCAUAAAAUCAGCUCCUGUCGAUGGAAAAUAGCAGGAAACUUGAUCACGGGAUAUAUGCUGUACUUGUCUCUUUAUGCUAUAAUAAGUAUAGUAUAAUGUGUCCACCAUGAUUAGUUAACCACAAAUCACUCAAGUUUUUGCAGUAUAUUUUUCUGAAUAUUCGUCAGUUUUAUAGUUUUUUCUCUUCCAUUAAUUUCUUUAUUUGUCACGUUUAGAACACAUCUUUAGCCUAGAAAAUCUUCUUGAUAUCAUUCACUUUGCACCCAUCUUUACGUUUCUCUCUAAGAGC
Long non-coding RNA from Diprion similis, 842 nucleotides. RefSeq lists it as uncharacterized. Lineage: Eukaryota; Metazoa; Arthropoda; Insecta; Hymenoptera; Diprionidae. The transcript is spliced from 2 exons. The record is from RefSeq and is a predicted model, not a curated record.